Molecule: long non-coding RNA, 271 nt
Organism: Gymnodraco acuticeps
Lineage: Eukaryota; Metazoa; Chordata; Actinopteri; Perciformes; Bathydraconidae
Exons: 4
Source: RefSeq, a predicted model, not a curated record
GGUGGGCAGCAGGUGGCGCAAGAGAGGAGCCGAGGCUGCAGAGGGGAGGAAAGAAGAGGAGAGGAGGAGGGAGGCCAAAUUAAGAGUGACAUGUCACAAACAACAUGAGAGGAGAGGGUAGGAGAGGAGGUGGAGGGGCAAAACUAGGCAUGACUUCUCAUGUAAAGAAGAGACCUGAGAGGAAAUGAGGAGAGGAAGGGAGGAGGCAAUAAUUAAGUUUGACCUCUCACAAAAAAAGGUAUGCAUCAUUUAAUGUUAUCACCACGUUUCG